Molecule: ribosomal RNA, 1051 nt
Filed under: Brevibacterium sp. enrichment culture clone MRBiofilm-SM-02G
Lineage: Bacteria; Bacillati; Actinomycetota; Actinomycetes; Micrococcales; Brevibacteriaceae
Description: bacterial SSU rRNA
Rfam family: Bacterial small subunit ribosomal RNA
Source: RNAcentral
CUCCUACGGGAGGCAGCAGUGGGGAAUAUUGCACAAUGGGGGAAACCCUGAUGCAGCGACGCAGCGUGCGGGAUGACGGCCUUCGGGUUGUAAACCGCUUUCAGCAGGGAAGAAGCGCAAGUGACGGUACCUGCAGAAGAAGUACCGGCUAACUACGUGCCAGCAGCCGCGGUAAUACGUAGGGUACGAGCGUUGUCCGGAAUUAUUGGGCGUAAAGAGCUCGUAGGUGGUUGGUCACGUCUGCUGUGGAAACGCAACGCUUAACGUUGCGCGUGCAGUGGGUACGGGCUGACUAGAGUGCAGUAGGGGAGUCUGGAAUUCCUGGUGUAGCGGUGAAAUGCGCAGAUAUCAGGAGGAACACCGGUGGCGAAGGCGGGACUCUGGGCUGUAACUGACACUGAGGAGCGAAAGCAUGGGGAGCGAACAGGAUUAGAUACCCUGGUAGUCCAUGCCGUAAACGUUGGGCACUAGGUGUGGGGGCAUUCCACGUUCUCCGCGCCGUAGCUAACGCAUUAAGUGCCCCGCCUGGGGAGUACGGUCGCAAGGCUAAAACUCAAAGGAAUUGACGGGGGCCCGCACAAGCGGCGGAGCAUGCGGAUUAAUUCGAUGCAACGCGAAGAACCUUACCAAGGCUUGACAUACACCGGACCGUCCUGGAAACAGGUCCUCUUCUUUGAAGCUGGUGUACAGGUGGUGCAUGGUUGUCGUCAGCUCGUGUCGUGAGAUGUUGGGUUAAGUCCCGCAACGAGCGCAACCCUCGUUCUAUGUUGCCAGCACGUGAUGGUGGGAACUCAUAGGAGACUGCCGGGGUCAACUCGGAGGAAGGUGGGGAUGACGUCAAAUCAUCAUGCCCUUUAUGUCUUGGGCUUCACGCAUGCUACAAUGGCUGGUACAGAGAGAGGCGAACCCGUGAGGGCAAGCGAAUCCCUUAAAGCCAGUCUCAGUUCGGAUCGUAGUCUGCAAUUCGACUACGUGAAGUCGGAGUCGCUAGUAAUCGCAGAUCAGCAACGCUGCGGUGAAUACGUUCCCGGGCCUUGUACACACCGCCCGU